Molecule: ribosomal RNA, 497 nt
Filed under: uncultured bacterium
Lineage: Bacteria
Description: partial 16S ribosomal RNA
Rfam family: Bacterial small subunit ribosomal RNA
Source: RNAcentral
GAUGAACGCUGGCGGCGUGCCUAAUACAUGCAAGUCGAGCGAACGGACGAGAAGCUUGCUUCUCUGAUGUUAGCGGCGGACGGGUGAGUAACACGUGGAUAACCUACCUAUAAGACUGGGAUAACUUCGGGAAACCGGAGCUAAUACCGGAUGAUAUUUUGAACCGCAUGGUUCAAAAGUGAAAGACGGUCUUGCUGUCACUUAUAGAUGGAUCCGCGCUGCAUUAGCUAGUUGGUAAGGUAACGGCUUACCAAGGCAACGAUGCAUAGCCGACCUGAGAGGGUGAUCGGCCACACUGGAACUGAGACACGGUCCGGACUCCUACGGGAGGCAGCAGUAGGGAAUCUUCCGCAAAGGGCGAAAGCCUGACGGAGCAACGCCGCGUGAGUGAUGAAGGUCUUCGGAUCGUAAAACUCUGUUAUUAGGGAAGAACAUAUGUGUAAGUAACUGUGCACAUCUUGACGGUACCUAAUCAGAAAGCCACGGCUAACUACGUG